RNAcentral lists this ribosomal RNA (492 nucleotides) under uncultured bacterium. Its description in RNAcentral is "partial 16S ribosomal RNA". It matches the Rfam family "Bacterial small subunit ribosomal RNA", at positions 29 to 507 of the family's 1533-position model. The record is from RNAcentral.
AGUGAACGCUGGCGGUAGGCCUAACACAUGCAAGUCGAACGGCAGCACAGUAAGAGCUUGCUCUUACGGGUGUCGAGUGGCGGACGGGUGAGGAAUACCUCGGAAUCUACUUUUUCGUGGGGGAUAACGUAGGGAAACUUACGCUAAUACCGCAUACGACCUACGGGUGAAAGCAGGGGAUCUUCGGACCUUGCGCGAUUGAAUGAGCCGAUGUCGGAUUAGCUAGUUGGCGGGGUAAAGGCCCACCAAGGCGACGAUCCGUAGCUGGUCUGAGAGGAUGAUCAGGCACACUGGAACUGAGACACGGCCCCGACUCCGACGGGAGGCAGCAGUGGGGAAUAUUGGACAAGGGGCGCAAGCCUGAUCCAGCCAUACCGCGUGGGUGAAGAAGGCGUUCGGGUUGGAAAGCCCUUUUGUUGGGAAAGAAAAGCAGCAGGUUAAUACCCCGCUGUUCUGACGGUACCCAAAGAAUAAGCACCGGCUAACUUCGUG